GGCCUUUUAUAGAUUUAAGGUCCAACCUGCCCACUGAGUAUUGAAGGGCCGUGGUAUACUGACCAUGCGAAGGUAGCAUAAUCAUUUGCCCCUUAAUUAGGGGCUGGAAUGAAGGGUUAGACGAGAAACUAGCUGUCUCUUCUAUUUACUUGAAGUUAAUUAUUUGGUGAAAAAGCUAAACUUUUCUUAGAGGACGAUAAGACCCUAUAGAUCUUUUUCGUUGGGGCGACGUUGAGGGUUGAACUAUCUCUCAAAAUGUUCUAACAUUGAUAAAUGAUUUUUGAUCCUUUGGUGAAUUAGGAUAAAGUUACCUUAGGGAUAACAGCGUAAUUUUUCUUGAGAGUCCUUAUCGACAGAAAAGUUUGCGACCUCGAUGUUGGUUCAGGGUUCCUUUUAGGCGCAGCAGUUUAAUAAGGUAGUCUGUUCGACUAUUAAAUCCCUACG
This 444-nucleotide ribosomal RNA is filed under the name Parartemia minuta. Its description in RNAcentral is "partial 16S ribosomal RNA". It matches the Rfam family "Bacterial large subunit ribosomal RNA", at positions 1833 to 2600 of the family's 2925-position model. The record is from RNAcentral. Lineage: Eukaryota; Metazoa; Arthropoda; Branchiopoda; Anostraca; Branchipodidae.